RNAcentral lists this ribosomal RNA (482 nucleotides) under uncultured bacterium. Its description in RNAcentral is "bacterial SSU rRNA". It matches the Rfam family "Bacterial small subunit ribosomal RNA", at positions 28 to 494 of the family's 1533-position model. The record is from RNAcentral.
GAUGAACGCUAGCGGCAGGCUUAAUACAUGCAAGUCGAGGGGCAUCAAGGUACACGAAAGUGUAUUGUUGGCGACCGGCGGACGGGUGAGUAGUAGGUAGGUAACCUACCUCAUACUGAGGCAUAGCUGGGAGAAAUUCCAGGUAAUUCCUCAUGAGGUUAUAUGACACAUGUGAUAUAAUCAAAGGUAUCGCAAGGUACUGGUAUGAGAUGGGCUUACUGACCAUUAGCUAGUUGGUGAGAUAAGAGCUCACCAAGGCGAAGAUGGUUAGGGGUUUUGAGAGAGAGAUCCCCCACAUUGGAACUGAGAUACGGUCCAGACUCCUACGGGAGGCAGCAGUAGGGAAUAUUGGGCAAUGGGCGGAAGCCUGACCCAGCCAUGCCGCGUGAAGGAAGACGGCCUUAUGGGUUGUAAACUUCUUUACUAUGCGACUAACUAGAUUUACGAGAUAAUUCUAUAGAAUGUAGCAUAGCAAAAGCACC